UACGAGGGGUGCAAGCGUUAUUCGGAAUAACUGGGCGUAAAGGGUGCGUAGACGGUUUGUUAAGUCUGUUGUUAAAUUCCCCGGCCUAACCGGGGUCCAGCAAUAGAAACUGAUAGACUAGAGGAUGGAAGAGAGAAGUGGAAUUCUCGGAGUAGCGGUAAAAUGCGUAGAUCUCGAGAGGAACACCGAUGGCGAAGGCAGCUUCUUGGUCCAUAUCUGACGUUGAGGCACGAAAGCGUGGGGAGCAAACAGGAUUAGAUACCCUGGUAGUCCACGCUGUAAACGAUGAUCACUAGAUGUUAGUCUUGCUUAGCAGGAUUAGUAUCGUAGCUAACGCGUUAAGUGAUCCGCCUGGGGAGUACGGUCGCAAGAUUA
Molecule: ribosomal RNA, 375 nt
Filed under: uncultured prokaryote
Description: bacterial SSU rRNA
Rfam family: Bacterial small subunit ribosomal RNA
Source: RNAcentral